Molecule: ribosomal RNA, 459 nt
Filed under: uncultured bacterium
Lineage: Bacteria
Description: partial 16S ribosomal RNA
Rfam family: Bacterial small subunit ribosomal RNA
Source: RNAcentral
CCUACGGGGGGCAGCAGUGAGGAAUAUUGGUCAAUGGGCGGGAGCCUGAACCAGCCAAGUCGCGUGAGGGACGACGGUCCUAUGGAUUGUAAACCUCUUUUGUCGGGGAACAAAGGCGCCCACGGGUGGGCGGAUGAGUGUACCCGAAGAAAAAGCAUCGGCUAACUCCGUGCCAGCAGCCGCGGUAAUACGGAGGAUGCGAGCGUUAUCCGGAAUUACUGGGUGUAAAGGGAGCGUAGGCGGGACUGCAAGUUGGGUGUCAAAUCUACCGGCUCAACCGGUAGCCGCACUCAAAACUGCAGUUCUUGAGUGAAGUAGAGGCAGGCGGAAUUCCUAGUGUAGCGGUGAAAUGCGUAGAUAUUAGGAGGAACACCAGUGGCGAAGGCGGCCUGCUGGGCUUUUACUGACGCUGAGGCUCGAAAGUGUGGGGAGCAAACAGGAUUAGAUACCCGAGUAGUC